GUGGUUGUGGCUCAGUGGUACAGCACUUGCCUUGUAUGUGUGAGACACUGGGUUCAAUUCUCAGCACCACA
Molecule: transfer RNA, 71 nt
Filed under: Ictidomys tridecemlineatus (thirteen-lined ground squirrel)
Lineage: Eukaryota; Metazoa; Chordata; Mammalia; Rodentia; Sciuridae
Description: Spermophilus tridecemlineatus (thirteen-lined ground squirrel) tRNA
Rfam family: tRNA
About the family: Transfer RNA (tRNA) molecules are approximately 80 nucleotides in length. Their secondary structure includes four short double-helical elements and three loops (D, anti-codon, and T loops).
Source: Rfam by way of RNAcentral